ACCCUUAGAUGUCCUGGGCCGCACGCGCGCUACACUGACGGGGCCAACGAGUCCUCCCUUGCCCGAAAGGGCCGGGUAAUCUUGUUAAACCCCGUCGUGCUGGGGAUAGAGCAUUGCAAUUGUUGCUCUUCAACGAGGAAUGCCUAGUAAGCGCGCGUCAUCAGCGUGCGUUGAUUACGUCCCUGCCCUUUGUACACACCGCCCGUCGCUACUACCGAUUGAACGGCUCAGUGAGGCCCUCGGACUGGCUCGGGGAGGCUGGAAACGGCCACCCCAGGCCGGGAAGUCGGACGAACUCGGUCGUUUAGAGGAAGUAAAAGUCGUAACA
Molecule: ribosomal RNA, 328 nt
Filed under: uncultured eukaryote
Lineage: Eukaryota
Description: partial 18S ribosomal RNA
Rfam family: Eukaryotic small subunit ribosomal RNA
Source: RNAcentral